Molecule: ribosomal RNA, 481 nt
Filed under: uncultured bacterium
Lineage: Bacteria
Description: partial 16S ribosomal RNA
Rfam family: Bacterial small subunit ribosomal RNA
Source: RNAcentral
GAUGAACGCUGGCGGCGUGCUUAACACAUGCAAGUCGAACGAAACACCUUAUUUGAUUUUCUUCGGAACUGAAGAUUUGGUGAUUGAGUGGCGGACGGGUGAGUAACGCGUGGGUAACCUGCCCUGUACAGGGGGAUAACAGUCAGAAAUGACUGCUAAUACCGCAUAAGACCACAGCACCGCAUGGUGCAGGGGUAAAAACUCCGGUGGUACAGGAUGGACCCGCGUCUGAUUAGCUGGUGGGUGAGGUAACGGCUCACCAAGGCGACGAUCAGUAGCCGGGUUGAGAGAGUGAACGGACACAUUGGGACUGAGACACGGCCCAAACUCCUACGGGAGGCAGCAGUGGGGAAUAUUGCACAAUGGGGGAAACCCUGAUGCAGCGACGCCGCGUGAGUGAAGAAGUAUUUCGGUAUGUAAAGCUCUAUCAGCAGGGAAGAAAAUGACGUUACCUGACUAAGAAGCCCCGGCUAACUACGUG